UCCCACUCUGAGGGGGACUAAUCCAGUUACUGUCCUUCCCCCUUCCAGCUCCUGCUUCUCUCUACUGUCUGUCAAGAGUGAAGUCAAUUACACGUCCCAACUUUGCACCAAAAGGAAAGAACUGAGUAAAGAAGUUCAGAGAGUAACACAACCAAAGGCUGACAGCCCAGAUGUGCAGAAGCAGAGAAAUGGAGCCCCCAGCCCAGAGGCGCGUGAGUUCCAUUGCAGUGGCUGACAGCUGACAUGCUCCCUGAGCACAGGGACCAGCGUCCUCCUCAACACAUCUCAGCUCAGCAAGGACAGGGCCCAGGGCCCAACCCCACCUGCUGCAGGGCCAUGGCCACACGGAGAGCCACACACACACAUAUCACUGGGCCUGAGGCUGAGCGGCUCAGGGGAGGUGACAGGAGUGAAGGAUCCGGUCACCAGGCUCAACUCACUCAGAGGGGUGGCUAGGCUCCUCUGCACAGCCCACUCCCCCGAGGGUCUUCAGUGGACAGUUAACAGGUGCUGAUUGGUUUGGAAGCUGAUGGAGCUAAAGGAGAUGGAGGCAUGGCUGGAUCCCUCCUCCCACAAGUGGACCAGGCCCCUCUGUGGCCUCAGGUUCAGGCUCCAGCCCUGAGGGAGGCCGUGGGUGCCCACACCAACUCCCACCUGGACCAGGUCAGGCCUUGGAGACUCCAGGGAGAUUCUGCCCCUUCCGGCUUCCCCUGGAAACUCUGCUCCAGCAGGGUGCUUUCUGCUGCCACCUGGUCUUUGCCCUCAUUUCUGCCAAGAAAGGGCCUGGACUCAGAAGGGAAUUUGGAAUCUGCAUGCAGCCCCUGCCCUUAAGGCUGGGUCCAUUGUGAGCCCUCAGGCCUUGGCCUCUCCUCCCCCUCCCCCUGAGCAGGGAAGCCCAGGGGAGUGUGAGCUUGGCAGAGAGCAGGGGCAAGAAGUCCACAGAAACAGGACUUGUCAGCUGAUGCUCUUCAGAUGCUGAGUUUAAAGGCCAGCUGGGCUGCCUGCUCGCUGUGUGCUCUUGGGCAAGUUUAUUAACCUCUCUGUGCCUGUGUCGUCCUCAACAAGAGAAUCAACUCUGCUGACUAGUUGGGGGUCUCAAACUGAUCUAGUGUACAGACUCCUCACAAUCAGCUGUCGGGAGAGACUUGGAGAGGCUGACCUCUGAGAGGCUGCCCCUCCUGGUAUGCACACCUCAUGCUCAGCCUCCAGCGUUAAAUGAGGUAAAGGUCCAGGGCUCUCAUCAGGAGCCACCCUGCUGGGCAUGUCUAGUUCCCUCCAGACUCGCCAAGUCAGAGUCCUUUUGACAUGGCCAGCGGGUCCAACUCCCAAGGGAGACUCGCCAGGAGAGGUUAUUGGCGUGCCUCUUCGAUUUGAAUGACAGGAAACAAAAGUAUGGGAAUGCGUGUCAUUUACAUAAUCAAGUUACUAUCACCUAGAAAUGAAGUGAAGGCCCAUCUUCAGACCCAAACUCAAUGUAAGCCAGGCUCU
Long non-coding RNA from Eptesicus fuscus (big brown bat), 1488 nucleotides. RefSeq lists it as uncharacterized. The record is from RefSeq and is a predicted model, not a curated record. The transcript has 3 exons. Lineage: Eukaryota; Metazoa; Chordata; Mammalia; Chiroptera; Vespertilionidae.